RNAcentral lists this ribosomal RNA (253 nucleotides) under uncultured bacterium. Its description in RNAcentral is "partial 16S ribosomal RNA". It matches the Rfam family "Bacterial small subunit ribosomal RNA", at positions 524 to 776 of the family's 1533-position model. The record is from RNAcentral.
UACGAAGGGUGCAAGCGUUAAUCGGAAUUACUGGGCGUAAAGCGUGCGUAGGCGGUUCGUUAAGUUCGUUGUGAAAGCCCCGGGCUCAACCUGGGAAUGGCAAUGGAAACUGGCGGGCUGGAGUAUGGCAGAGGGGGGUGGAAUUCCGCGUGUAGCAGUGAAAUGCGUAGAGAUGCGGAGGAACACCGAUGGCGAAGGCAGCCCCCUGGGCCAAUACUGACGCUCAGGCACGAAAGCGUGGGGAGCAAACAGG